UUUGAGAAUUGUCAUGAUAAUUGCAAGUUCUGAAAAAAUGAAAGUUGACCAUUAAUCUAUGUGAUGAGAGGCAUUUGUUGAGAGUGUUGCUGUGAAAGUUGCUAGUUUUUGCUUGAGGA
Molecule: non-coding RNA, 119 nt
Organism: Erythranthe guttata (spotted monkey flower)
Lineage: Eukaryota; Viridiplantae; Streptophyta; Magnoliopsida; Lamiales; Phrymaceae
Source: RefSeq, a predicted model, not a curated record